RNAcentral lists this long non-coding RNA (652 nucleotides) under Terrapene triunguis (Three-toed box turtle). RNAcentral's name for it is "Terrapene carolina triunguis (Three-toed box turtle) lncRNA (ENSTMTG00000002485.1)". The record is from RNAcentral. Lineage: Eukaryota; Metazoa; Chordata; Testudines; Emydidae.
GGACAAUAACAUAAGCUGCCGGAAAACUUCUGCAUUUUUACCUCCUUCCCUCCUGCCUGGGCAAAAAUUGGAUUAAAGACGAGAGAAGCAAAGCCACACGGGGAUGGAGCGCAGAAGGUUAUAAAGUUACGCUAGUCUUUGGAGAAGGACAAUGCAGGUUAUUCUCCAUAUGGAACUCACUCAGCUGUCUCUGUUAACCGACACUCGGAAUCAGAAACAAGGACAAGAAACAGGUUUCUCUCUUUCUUAGGAAUCCCGGUUAUUAAACGUGCCAAGAAUUCAUCAGUUAUUUCCAGGCAUCUGGUGUUUGGUUGCAUGGAGGGGUGUGUCUCCCCAUGAGAAUAUUUGCAUUUCCCCCUGUUUGCACAACUCCACCUCCAUGUGCAUGUACAUGUGCACAUGCAUAUAUGCAUUUCCCAUUUCCCAGCCUGAAUUGGGCAUUAUUCACACAGAAGCUGAACAACUUCACAGAUCAGCUCCGGUGGCCUCCAAAAUGUGACGUCUUAGAUGUGUCAGUGCCCCACUACCAUGGCAACAUCAUUGGACUGGAGAAGGGACAUGAAGUUUCAAAGAAACAAUCUUGAUAGCAAGGAGGCCUCCCCAGACUGAAGACCCCUGCUCACCUUUCUUCUUCCAGCCAAGGGGCUUUGAA